CGGAGUUGACAAGAGGAAGUUUUCGGAUGGAAUCUUGUUAAUUUAGCGGCGGACGGGUGAGUAACGCGUGAGCGACCAACCUUGCACAGGGGGAUAACGGACCGAAAGGUUCACUAAUACCGCAUGAGACCACGGUGUUGCAUGACACAGAGGUCAAAGGAGGAAUCCGGUGCAAGACGGGCUCGCGUCCGAUUAGGUAGUUGGAGGGGUAACGGCCCACCAAGCCUAUGAUCGGUAGCCGACCUGAGAGGGUGAUCGGCCACAUUGGAACUGAGAUACGGUCCAAACUCCUACGGGAGGCAGCAGUGGGGAAUAUUGGGCAAUGGGGGAAACCCUGACCCAGCAACGCCGCGUGAAGGAAGAAGGUUUUCGGAUUGUAAACUUCUGUCCUUGGUGAAGAGAAGAAGACGGUAGCCAAGGAGGAAGCCCCGGCUAACUACGUGCCAGCAGCCGCGGUAAUACGUAGGGGGCAAGCGUUGUCCGGAAUGAUUGGGCGUAAAGGGCGCGUAGGCGGCUUUAUAAGUCUGGAGUGAAAGUCCUCUUUUCAAGGGAGGAAUUGCUUUGGAAACUAUAGAGCUUGAGUGCAGGAGAGGUUAUCGGAAUUCCCGGUGUAGCGGUGAAAUGCGUAGAUAUCGGGAGGAACAUCGGUGGCGAAGGCGGGUAACUGGACUGCAACUGACGCUGAGGCGCGAAAGUGUGGGGAGCAAACAGG
This 712-nucleotide ribosomal RNA is filed under the name uncultured Clostridium sp. RNAcentral's name for it is "bacterial SSU rRNA". It matches the Rfam family "Bacterial small subunit ribosomal RNA", at positions 62 to 776 of the family's 1533-position model. The record is from RNAcentral. Lineage: Bacteria; Bacillati; Bacillota; Clostridia; Eubacteriales; Clostridiaceae.